Molecule: non-coding RNA, 27 nt
Filed under: Mus musculus (house mouse)
Lineage: Eukaryota; Metazoa; Chordata; Mammalia; Rodentia; Muridae
Also listed under: 1 other name
Source: RNAcentral
GGCUGAUGUUGCUGGACCGAAGUGGGC